This 936-nucleotide unclassified non-coding RNA is filed under the name Hevea brasiliensis (rubber tree). Lineage: Eukaryota; Viridiplantae; Streptophyta; Magnoliopsida; Malpighiales; Euphorbiaceae. The record is from RNAcentral.
GAACAAUCUAAUUUAUAAAAGUAGAUGCAUUAUAAUCACAGCCAUGGUUUUGCUUUUGCCUUCAGGAAUGGAAAACUAAAGCCACACAGAGAACGGAAAACAAAGGAAUAUGGUUUAACAAUUAAAUAAAUUCUUACGAUUUCAUCACAUCCAUCCAUCAAAACUAACGAACUCACCUCCAUUCAAAAUCUACGGUUAUGAAGCCUGCACGUCCACCCAACUACAUCCCAUGCAAAACCCUCCAAAGUCCAAAGCCAGGUCUCCAGGCACGCGGCAAAAUAUUAUAGAACGUGUAUAUCCAGCCAAAACGACACCAGAACCAAUUUUGUCUUUUUUGACCACACCAUCAACAAAAACCGCGUGCUAUUCACCCCCUGAAUUCGAAUCAAAUCCAUAGGCCGACUCACGGCCGCCACUACUCGCCAAUGAUAAAUCCCACAACCAUUUCUGCUUCGCACAACCCUUAAUAGUUGAUAUAAAGACGUAUCGGAGCAGCCAUUGAUUCUCUAAUAUUACAGAAACAACGCUGUGAUGUGUAGAAGCAUGGGUUUUUUUAAUGGGUUCCAGCCCAGAAAUCGAAAUAGCUUGAAAAUCAAAGGUUUCUUUAUCCGCUUUUCGGGUUUCAAGUCAUGCAAGUCCUUGCCCGACUCCCUCACACUCCUCUAUCUCCCUCGCAUUAACGGAUCGGAGCUCCUUGUAGACGGGUGUGAGGUCCGCCCCGAUUCUCCUGCGUUCUUGACGCUCCAUCGGGUAGUUAAUGUCAAGACGAAGAAGGGAGAGGCAAUAUUUGGAUCAAGAGAGCGGGUUUGGGCAAGCGGGGGGAUCCGCUUCGAAGUUUACUUGGGAGAGGAGAGGGUCUUGGAGGGGAUUUUUAGGAAAGACGACGAGGAAUGGAAGCUGGAGUGUGAGUGUGGGCUUGAGAGAGAGCUUGUUGCC